CACGUAGGGUGCGAGCGUUGUCCGGAAUUAUUGGGCGUAAAGAGCUCGUAGGCGGUGUGUCGCGUCGGCCGUGAAAACCUGCAGCUUAACUGUGGGCUUGCGGUCGAUACGGGCAUCACUGGAGUUCGGCAGGGGAGACUGGAAUUCCUGGUGUAGCGGUGAAAUGCGCAGAUAUCAGGAGGAACACCGGUGGCGAAGGCGGCAUCCUGGACCAUAACUGACGCUGAGGCGCGAAAGCUAGGGGAGCAAACGGG
Molecule: ribosomal RNA, 254 nt
Filed under: uncultured bacterium
Lineage: Bacteria
Description: partial 16S ribosomal RNA
Rfam family: Bacterial small subunit ribosomal RNA
Source: RNAcentral